This 160-nucleotide ribosomal RNA is filed under the name uncultured bacterium. RNAcentral's name for it is "partial 16S ribosomal RNA". The record is from RNAcentral.
CACAGAAGUUAGCCGUGGCUUCCUUUAACGGUACCGUCAUUCCUCCGGGGUAUUAACCCAGAAGCUAUUCGUCAUUCGACAGGGGUUUACGAUCCGAAGACCUUCAUCCCCCACGCGGCGUUGCGUCAUCAGGCUUGCGCCCAUUGUGAACAAUUCCCCA